Molecule: RNase P RNA, 372 nt
Filed under: Streptococcus hyointestinalis
Lineage: Bacteria; Bacillati; Bacillota; Bacilli; Lactobacillales; Streptococcaceae
Description: partial ribonuclease P RNA
Rfam family: Bacterial RNase P class B
About the family: Ribonuclease P (RNase P) is a ubiquitous endoribonuclease, found in archaea, bacteria and eukarya as well as chloroplasts and mitochondria. Its best characterised activity is the generation of mature 5'-ends of tRNAs by cleaving the 5'-leader elements of precursor-tRNAs.
Source: RNAcentral
GUGCAAUUUUUGGAUAAUCGCGUGGUGUUUAGAUACCAUGAGGAAAGUCCAUGCUAGCACUGGCUGUGAUGCCGGUAGUGUUUGUGCUAGGCGAAAAAAUAAGCCUAGGGAGGUAGCGAUACCUUACGGCGAUCAAAAGAGCUAAGUCUUUGAUAUGCUCAAGUAGAUCUGAAAAGUGCCACAGUGACGUAGUUUUUAGGGAAACCUAAAAAGUGGAACGCGGUAAACCCCUCAAGCUAGCAACCCAAACUUUGGUAGGGGCAUGGGAUAGUUGGAAACGAACGAUCUAUCCUGACUGCUUUUGCAGUAGACAGAUGAUUAUCGAAGGUGGCAAGACCUAGUUGCCGCCGGAACAAAACAUGGCUUAUAGAA